RNAcentral lists this ribosomal RNA (508 nucleotides) under uncultured bacterium. Its description in RNAcentral is "bacterial SSU rRNA". It matches the Rfam family "Bacterial small subunit ribosomal RNA", at positions 19 to 518 of the family's 1533-position model. The record is from RNAcentral.
AUGGCUCAGGAUGAACGCUAGCGAUAGGCUUAACACAUGCAAGUCGAGGGGCAGCACGGUGUAGCAAUACACGUGGUGGCGACCGGUGUACGGGUGCGUAACACGUAUGCAACCUACCCGCUAUGGGGGAUAACCCGGCGAAAGUCGGACUAAUACCCCAUAUUAUUCUUACCGGGCAUCCGGUAGGUCUGAAAGAUUUAUCGAUUGCGGAUGGGCAUGCGGAUGAUUAGCUAGUAGGUGGGGUAACGGCUCACCUAGGCGACGAUCAUUAGGGGUUCUGAGAGGAAGGUCCCCCACACUGGAACUGAGACACGGUCCAGACUCCUACGGGAGGCAGCAGUGAGGAAUAUUGGUCAAUGGGCGCUAGCCUGAACCAGCCAAGUCGCGUGAAGGAUGAACCAGAUCUAUGGUUUGUAAACUUCUUUUGCAGGGGAGUAAAGUGCGACACGUGUGUUGUAUUGCAAGUACCCUGCGAAUAAGCAUCGGCUAACUCCGUGCCAGCCGCCGC